This 599-nucleotide ribosomal RNA is filed under the name fungal endophyte. Its description in RNAcentral is "eukaryotic LSU rRNA". The stretch from base 179 to 332 matches the Rfam family "5.8S ribosomal RNA". Lineage: Eukaryota; Fungi. The record is from RNAcentral.
UAAAGAGUUCUAUAACUCCCAAACCCAUGUGAACAUACCUAACGUUGCCUCGGCAGGUCGCACCUACCUUGUAGCACCCUACCCUGUAGGGCCUACCCGGGAGGUGCGGGUAAGCCUGCCGGCGGCCCACCAAACUCUGUUUGAUAUUAAAUUCUGAACCUAUAACUAAAUAAGUUAAAACUUUCAACAACGGAUCUCUUGGUUCUGGCAUCGAUGAAGAACGCAGCGAAAUGCGAUAAGUAAUGUGAAUUGCAGAAUUCAGUGAAUCAUCGAAUCUUUGAACGCAUAUUGCGCCCAUUAGUAUUCUAGUGGGCAGGACCGUUCGAGCGUCAUUUCAACCCUUAAGCCUUCGUUGCUUAGUGUUGGGAGCCUACGGCAACGUAGCUCCUCAAAGUUAGUGGCGGAGUUGGUUCACACUCUAGACGUAGUAAUUUUUUAUCUCGCCUAUUAGUUGGACUAAUCCCCUGCCGUAAAACCCCCAAUUUAUCAAGGUUGACCUCGAAUCGGUUCAGACAAACUCGCUAAAUUGAAGCAUCUUAGUCAGCGAAGGAAAAGAAACCAACAGGGAUUGCCCUAGUAACGGCGAGUGAAGCGGCAAC